CCUUCGAUAGCUCAGUUGGUAGAGCGGAGGACUGUAGAGGUUCAAUACGGACAUCCUUAGGUCGCUGGUUCGAAUCCGGCUCGAAGGA
Molecule: transfer RNA, 88 nt
Filed under: Astyanax mexicanus (Mexican tetra)
Lineage: Eukaryota; Metazoa; Chordata; Actinopteri; Characiformes; Acestrorhamphidae
Rfam family: tRNA
About the family: Transfer RNA (tRNA) molecules are approximately 80 nucleotides in length.
Source: Rfam by way of RNAcentral